CAGUCGCCACGGUAAUACAGAGGUCUCAAGCGUUGUUCGGAUUCAUUGGGCGUAAAGGGUGCGUAGGCGGUCGGGUAAGUCGGAUGUGAAAUCCUGGGGCUCAACCUCAGAACUGCAUUCGAUACUGCUUGGCUAGAGGACUGGAGAGGAGACUGGAAUUCACGGUGUAGCAGUGAAAUGCGUAGAUAUCGUGAGGAAGACCAGCGGCGAAGGCGGGUCUCUGGACAGUUCCUGACGCUGAUGCACGAAGGCCAGGGGAGCAAACGGGAUUAGAUACCCCUGUAGUCCCUGUCUCUUAUAC
Molecule: ribosomal RNA, 301 nt
Filed under: uncultured bacterium
Lineage: Bacteria
Description: partial 16S ribosomal RNA
Rfam family: Bacterial small subunit ribosomal RNA
Source: RNAcentral